Long non-coding RNA from Homo sapiens (human), 327 nucleotides. Ensembl annotates it as SLC9A9 antisense RNA 2. Its record names the gene SLC9A9-AS2. The record is from Ensembl. Lineage: Eukaryota; Metazoa; Chordata; Mammalia; Primates; Hominidae.
AGUUUCCCUGCACAAGCUCUCUCUUUGACUGCCACCAUCCAUGUAAGAUGUGACUUGCUCUUCCUUGCCUCCUGCCCUGAUUGUGACGCCUCCCCAGCCAUGUGGAACUCAGAGGAAGCUCCGUUUAGAAAUAGCUCCUUGGUCACAUGCUGGACAAACAUGGAACAGCCUAUGGAACAGAACAAUCAUAUCUCUAUAUAAUGUGCAUUGGUUUCUUUGACUUGCCUGGUGUUGUGAGGAGGGGUCCUCCUUCAGAUUUUCAUCCAGGUCCACGCCAACUCUGUUAAACAAAACCAAAAACUGGUCAAUCCCCUGCUGCAGAAGGAA